Ochlerotatus camptorhynchus is the source of this 1730-nucleotide long non-coding RNA. RefSeq lists it as uncharacterized. The record is from RefSeq and is a predicted model, not a curated record. NCBI's taxonomy places the organism in Eukaryota, Metazoa, Arthropoda, Insecta, Diptera, Culicidae. The transcript is spliced from 3 exons.
UGUGUUUACCAGUGAGAAAAGGUUGAAUCGCAUCAGGAAAGCUAGUGUGUGGUGAUUUCGGAUACGGCCGUUUCGGGUUUUUUUUUUCGGUGGAACUUGACUAGACACUACAGGCAUUCAGAAAGUUUUGUGUUUCUUCGCGAUCUGUGGAUGCGGAUGUGUUGUUGUGUUUUUUUUUAAAGUUUGAUUCUCAUCGUCUCGCCCUCCUCCCCCGUGUGGAGUGUGCGUGUGUGUGUGGCCGGGGAGUAAGCGUUGAUGCUCUGUGGGCCUUCUCCCGUAGUAGGUAGUAAAGGCGGGUGUAAAUUUUUGUGGUUUCGCUAAAAUAUCAAAGGAGAAGCAGGCAGGAGUGAAAGAAACGGUACACCCUGAUCCAGUGAUCGUGGCCACGCCGAGCAAAGUGAAACCUGUGUGCAUGUUCGAGUUGAUGGCUUGAUGGAAUUGUAGAUUGUGUUAAACCGAAGAAGUCCACGACGUGGAAGAAGCGAAUGUGUUAGUGCUUGCCCUAAGCGAGAGCGGGAAGAUUGCAACUUGUUCUGGAUAACUCGGUGUCCUAAAAAGAGUUCAACAGGUUAUAUCGGAUUAUACAGAGCUCCGGAGAUCGUUCGACGAUUGCUGCAAGAACACUUGACCAGACGGAACAAGGAUAACUUUUAUCCGCCCGAAUCACUAACGAAGAGAGUGUGUACUUUUUCCUUCCGUUGCGCGUGCCACUUCCGGCAAGUCAAGUUUCGCCAAAGUUUAUUUCGAACUACACGUGCGCGCGAGGACGAGGAUUAAGCAACCGAAUCCAAACAGGAAAGAACAAUCAAAAACGAAUAAAUCUCAUUCUGGAAAUACAGCGGAAACGCUUCAGCGCGGGAGAGUGUAUGUGUGCGUUGUGUAAGGAAGCGGAAAGGAAAUUGCUUUUCCCCUCCUUGGCAGCGUUGCGGGACUGCUGAUUUUGCUUGGAAAACUAAUAAAAAAGUGUGCGCGCUGCUGACGAACGUGGCCGGGAAAACGAAGGAAGGAAAUUAAAACUAAACAAACCUGAUGAAGGUGAAGCGGUUGUGAGGUGAGUGUCUGCGCUGAAGUAACUAAAUCGAAAGAUAAGUGGCUAUGAAGAAAACUAGGUAGCUUUUUUUUCUUCUUUCUUGUUGUUUCGGGUUCAAGACGAAAUUCGACGUCGACUGCGAGUUGAAUGAAAUUUAUUUUACGAUCAAUUUUUCCGCUAUCGACGCCCCACCGGCAAACUAGAAAGACUUGCACAAUCUGAAGAGGAGUUUCCUUCCUCUCGAAAGCAGACACGGUGGGAAUUCGCAACCGUCCCUGGGAGUAUCUAGUGUAGUGAUUAAGCAGUCAUACAACAGUGCAUUGGGUGUCAAUCUCGUCAACGGAAGAGGGUUCAUAAAUAGAAACGUACCGAAAGAAAGAAAAGUUCGUGUCAGAUCCACCGAGCAGUCAGUGUGUGAAUGUCAGCUGCAAAUAGUGUCUCUUGACAAGUUGGAAAAGUGAAAACUUUGAAAACGGAAAGUGACACAGACCUCCCCCCGACCAACAGGUGUCUGCAUCCACACAGGGUGGUGCGUCAAAGUCAACAGCAGAGCGCAGAUCGGCAAGAUAGCGCCGUGUCAACCUGAGAAGGAUAGAGCCGACGAUAAUGGGAAGCGAUGAUAUGAAGUGAAGGUGUGUCACUAUGUUCAAUACAUAUUAAAAAAGCUAUUAACGAUCAAGUGAAGGAGUCCAUUGCAUUG